This 89-nucleotide non-coding RNA is filed under the name Ureibacillus sinduriensis. RNAcentral's name for it is "Lysinibacillus sinduriensis c-di-GMP sequence". It matches the Rfam family "c-di-GMP-I riboswitch aptamer". From Rfam's summary of the family: GEMM was predicted in a large-scale screen for bacterial structured RNA regulatory elements. Genes associated with GEMM are involved in a diverse array of functions, including chemotaxis regulation, signal transduction, secretion and chitin. RNAcentral also lists the same sequence under 1 other name. Lineage: Bacteria; Bacillati; Bacillota; Bacilli; Caryophanales; Caryophanaceae. The record is from RNAcentral.
CUGUCAUAAGGGCAAAUCUAUCGAAAGGUAGAGACGCAAAGCCUCAGAUCUAAGGCGUGUUAUCAUGCUAGGAUGGCUGGGUUACCGUA